Molecule: ribosomal RNA, 253 nt
Filed under: uncultured bacterium
Lineage: Bacteria
Description: partial 16S ribosomal RNA
Rfam family: Bacterial small subunit ribosomal RNA
Source: RNAcentral
UACGAAGGGGGCUAGCGUUGCUCGGAAUCACUGGGCGUAAAGGGUGCGUAGGCGGGUCUUUAAGUCAGGGGUGAAAUCCUGGAGCUCAACUCCAGAACUGCCUUUGAUACUGAAGAUCUUGAGUUCGGGAGAGGUGAGUGGAACUGCGAGUGUAGAGGUGAAAUUCGUAGAUAUUCGCAAGAACACCAGUGGCGAAGGCGGCUCACUGGCCCGGAACUGACGCUGAGACGCGAAAGCGUGGGGAGCAAACAGG